Molecule: ribosomal RNA, 480 nt
Filed under: uncultured Comamonadaceae bacterium
Lineage: Bacteria; Pseudomonadati; Pseudomonadota; Betaproteobacteria; Burkholderiales; Comamonadaceae
Description: bacterial SSU rRNA
Rfam family: Bacterial small subunit ribosomal RNA
Source: RNAcentral
AAACUCAAAUGAAUUGACGGGGACCCGCACAAGCGGUGGAUGAUGUGGUUUAAUUCGAUGCAACGCGAAAACCUUACCCACCUUUGACAUGUACGGAAGCCUUUAGAGAUAGAGGCGUGCUCGAAAGAGAGCCGUAACACAGGUGCUGCAUGGCUGUCGUCAGCUCGUGUCGUGAGAUGUUGGGUUAAGUCCCGCAACGAGCGCAACCCUUGUCAUUAGUUGCUACGAAAGGGCACUCUAAUGGGACUGCCGGUGACAAACCGGAGGAAGGUGGGGAUGACGUCAAGUCCUCAUGGCCCUUAUAGGUGGGGCUACACACGUCAUACAAUGGCCGGUACAGAGGGUGGCCAACCCGCGAGGGGGAGCCAAUCCCACAAAGCCGGUCGUAGUCCGGAUCGCAGUCUGCAACUCGACUGCGUGAAGUCGGAAUCGCUAGUAAUCGCGGAUCAGCAUGUCGCGGUGAAUACGUUCCCGGGUCUU